CCUACGGGCGGCAGCAGUGGGGAAUAUUGCACAAUGGGGGAAACCCUGAUGCAGCGACGCCGCGUGAGUGAAGAAGUAAUUCGUUACGUAAAGCUCUAUCAGCAGGGAAGAAAUACUGACCUUACGGUCAGCAGACGGUACCUGAGUAAGAAGCCCCGGCUAACUACGUGCCAGCAGCCGCGGUAAUACGUAGGGGGCAAGCGUUAUCCGGAUUUACUGGGUGUAAAGGGAGCGUAGACGGUGCGCCAAGUCUGGAGGGAAAUGCCGCAGCUUAACUGCGGAACUGCGUUGGAAACUGGCGAACUAGAGUGCGGGAUGGGUAAGCGGAAUUCCUAGUGUAGCGGUGAAAUGCGUAGAUAUUAGGAGGAACACCGGUGGCGAAGGCGGCUUACUGGACCGUAACUGACGUUGAGGCUCGAAAGCGUGGGGAGCAAACAGGAUUAGAUACCCGAGUAGUC
RNAcentral lists this ribosomal RNA (458 nucleotides) under uncultured bacterium. RNAcentral describes it as "partial 16S ribosomal RNA". It matches the Rfam family "Bacterial small subunit ribosomal RNA", at positions 338 to 795 of the family's 1533-position model. The record is from RNAcentral.